Molecule: long non-coding RNA, 417 nt
Filed under: Mytilus galloprovincialis (Mediterranean mussel)
Lineage: Eukaryota; Metazoa; Mollusca; Bivalvia; Mytilida; Mytilidae
Source: RNAcentral
UAUGAUCUUUCUAAUUUUAAUGCCAAAUUAUAGUUUUGACCCCAAUUUCAUGGUCCACUGAACAUAGAAAAUGAUAGUGCAAAGUUCAGGUUAAAGUUUUUGGUCAAGGUAGUUUUUGAUGAAGUUAAAGUCCAAUCAACUUGAAACUUAAUACACAUUUCCCAUGAUAUGAUCUUUCUAAAUUUUAAUGCCAAAUUAUAGUUUUUGACCCCAAUUUCAAUGGUCCACUGAACAUAGAAAAUGAUAGUGCAAAGUUCAGGUUAAAGUUUUGGUCAAGGUAGUUUUGAUGAAGUUAAAGUUACAUCAACUUGAAACUUAGUACACAUGUUCUCUAUGAUAUGAUCUUUCUAAUUUUAAUUCCAAAUUAAAGUUUUGACCCCAAUUUCAUGGUCCACUGAACAUAGAAAAUGAUAGUGC